UGCCACAGCCAUAUCACCCUGGAGCCCAAGACUGGUUGCCCACUGAAGCUUACUGAGUCUGGUCAGUAACUGGAUGGGAGACCUCCUGGGAAAACUAGGUUGCUGUUGAAA
Ribosomal RNA from Sinocyclocheilus grahami, 111 nucleotides. The record is from Ensembl. NCBI's taxonomy places the organism in Eukaryota, Metazoa, Chordata, Actinopteri, Cypriniformes, Cyprinidae.